This 490-nucleotide ribosomal RNA is filed under the name uncultured bacterium. Its description in RNAcentral is "bacterial SSU rRNA". It matches the Rfam family "Bacterial small subunit ribosomal RNA", at positions 29 to 507 of the family's 1533-position model. The record is from RNAcentral.
AUUGAACGCUGGCGGCAGGCCUAACACAUGCAAGUCGAGCGGAAACGAUCCUAGCUUGCUAGGAGGCGUCGAGCGGCGGACGGGUGAGUAACGCGUGAGAAUCUACCCAUGAGUGGGGGACAACCCGGGGGAAACUCGGGCUAAUACCGCAUACGCCCUACGGGGUAAAGCAGGGGACCUUCGGGGCCUUGCGCUGAUGGAUGAGCUCGCGUCGGAUUAGCUUGUUGGUGAGGUAAAGGCUCACCAAGGCGACGAUCCGUAGCUGGUCUGAGAGGAUGAUCAGCCACACCGGGACUGAGACACGGCCCGGACUCCUACGGGAGGCAGCAGUGGGGAAUCUUGGACAAUGGGGGCAACCCUGAUCCAGCCAUGCCGCGUGUGUGAAGAAGGCCUUCGGGUUGUAAAGCACUUUCAGCAGGGAGGAAGGCUUACCCCUAAUACGAGUGAGUACUUGACGUUACCUGCAGAAGAAGCACCGGCUAAUUUCGUG